GACGAACGCUGGCGGCGUGCUUAACACAUGCAAGUCGAACGGAAAGGCCCUGCUUUUGUGGGGUGCUCGAGUGGCGAACGGGUGAGUAACACGUGAGUAACCUGCCCUUGACUUUGGGAUAACUUCAGGAAACUGGGGCUAAUACCGGAUAGGAGCUCCUGCUGCAUGGUGGGGGUUGGAAAGUUUCGGCGGUUGGGGAUGGACUCGCGGCUUAUCAGCUUGUUGGUGGGGUAGUGGCUUACCAAGGCUUUGACGGGUAGCCGGCCUGAGAGGGUGACCGGCCACAUUGGGACUGAGAUACGGCCCAGACUCCUACGGGAGGCAGCAGUGGGGAAUAUUGCACAAUGGGCGGAAGCCUGAUGCAGAAACGCCGCGGGCGGGAUGACGGCCUUCGGGUUGUAAACCGCUGUCGCCUGUGACGAAGCGUGAGUGACGGUAAUGGGUAAAGAAGCACCGGCUAACUACGUG
Molecule: ribosomal RNA, 468 nt
Filed under: uncultured bacterium
Lineage: Bacteria
Description: partial 16S ribosomal RNA
Rfam family: Bacterial small subunit ribosomal RNA
Source: RNAcentral